UUCGAUGGAGUUUUUGCACCUGUUGCUAGGAUCAAAACAAUCAGGUUGGUCGUUGGUCUAUAAAACAUGAACAACUAGAAUAUGUGUCAGAUGGGUGGGAAACGUGAACAACAUGAACAAGAAAGCAAGGUAUACAGUCUAUAUAAAGACAUGUAUGGACUUAAGCGAGCUCCAAGAGUUGGAAUAAGAAAAUAGACAACUUUCUAAGGGUGAAGGAAUUUGUAAAGCGCACAACUGAGCAUUGAGUAUAUGCAAGAAGAAGCAAUAGUGAAA
RNAcentral lists this long non-coding RNA (273 nucleotides) under Lathyrus oleraceus (garden pea). Its description in RNAcentral is "Pisum sativum (pea) long non-coding RNA (PSAT_LNC017765)". Lineage: Eukaryota; Viridiplantae; Streptophyta; Magnoliopsida; Fabales; Fabaceae. The record is from RNAcentral.